Molecule: ribosomal RNA, 327 nt
Filed under: uncultured Sunxiuqinia sp.
Lineage: Bacteria; Pseudomonadati; Bacteroidota; Bacteroidia; Marinilabiliales; Prolixibacteraceae
Description: bacterial SSU rRNA
Rfam family: Bacterial small subunit ribosomal RNA
Source: RNAcentral
UUAUCCGUAUUCAUUGGGUUUAAAGGGUACGUAGGUGGCCCAGUAAGUCAGUGGUGAAAUCCUGCCGCUUAACGGUAGAACUGCCAUUGAUACUGCUGGGCUUGAGUACAGUUGAGGUAGGCGGAAUGUGUAGUGUAGCGGUGAAAUGCUUAGAUAUUACACAGAACCCCGAUUGCGAAGGCAGCUUACUAAACUGUAACUGACACUGAGGUACGAAAGCGUGGGGAGCGAACAGGAUUAGAUACCCUGGUAGUCCACGCCGUAAACGAUGCUCACUCGCUGUAUGCGAUACACAGUAUGCGGCCAAGCGAAAGUAUUAAGUGAGCC